CAGAAAUCCUUGCAACUGCUAUUCUAUAGUAUGGUACAACUCUCAGCUUCCUGUUCUCCAGAAAUUCUCUAACUAAUCUAUUAACCUCUCUGUUCAUAUUUUUUUUCCUAUUUCAAUCCCUAAUCCUUCUCAGUGAUAUUUAAAAAAAAAAGUAUUUUAUUCUAUAUAUCAUUGAUGGGAAUAAUGUCCAUGUUGAUAUUUUUGGGUUAUUGAAUGAGAAAGGGAUAGGAGAGGAAGUAGAGAGGAAAGAAAGAGAGAAACAGAGGAGAGAUAGAGAGAGAAAUUGGUUGGCUGUUGUGAUCGUGAAGGAGGGGAUCUGAUCUUUCCUUUUCACGUUGAAUUCUCCUCUAGCUCUCAGCUUUUUGUGUGUUUCACAGAGAUACUUACACAUACACAUAUACCUUGUGAGAGAUAAAAAAAGAGAGAAAAAAGAUUGGAUGGAUAGAUCCCAUAAUAGGAGAACAAGAAAAAGGAGGAGGAGAAGAAUAAGAAGAAGAAAAGAAAGCUAACUUUUAUCAAUAACCCAAUACUUUGUUCUUGUUGAUUUUUGUUUUUGUUCUUGGAAACAAAAGAAAGAAGUUUCCCUUGGUGAUUGAUUUCCCUUCUCUACCCGCAAAGAACAAAGAAGCAGCCAAUUUGGCAAUCCAAAAUCGAUUCAUUUCACACCCUUUAUUGCGUAAUUGUAUCUAGCAGCCUCAGAAUCCAUAGCCAGAAUCAAACGGAGCUUGCUGGAUUUGUUGUUUAAUUUUUGUUUUUUUUGACAGAGAGAUAUGAGAGCUGGGCUCAGUACGAUUCAGCAAACUCUCACCCCUGAGGCGGCGAGUGUUUUAAACAACUCAAUAGCUGAAGCUAGCCGCCGGAACCAUGGUCAGACUACGCCCCUUCAUGUGGCGGCAACGCUUUUGGCUUCGCCGUCUGGGUUUCUCCGGCAAGCCUGUAUCAAAUCGCACCCCAACUCUUCGCAUCCUCUCCAGUGUAGAGCCUUGGAACUAUGUUUUAGCGUCUCUCUGGAGCGGCUUCCUACCGCCCAGAACCUUAGUCCAGGCCAUGACCCACCAAUCUCCAAUGCCUUAAUGGCGGCACUGAAGCGAGCUCAGGCUCACCAGCGACGCGGCUGCCCUGAGCAGCAGCAACAGCCUCUUCUAGCGGUGAAAGUAGAGCUUGAACAGCUAAUUAUAUCAAUUUUAGAUGAUCCAAGUGUUAGUAGAGUUAUGAGGGAAGCUAGUUUUUCCAGCCCAGCCGUUAAGGCCACAAUUGAGCAGUCUCUUAACUCUUCAUCCAAUUCCUCUGCCGCGGCAGCCGCCUCUAAUUCAAACUCAUUUGGAUUCGGGUUUCGCACGCCUGGAGCUGUGCCAGUUCCUGCUCCUGCAACGAAUCGGAAUUUGUAUGUUAAUCCCAGAUUGCAACAGGGGAGUAUAGCGCAAUCUGGGCAGCAGAGGAAUGAGGAAGUUAAGCGGGUUGUUGAUAUUUUGUUAAAGAAUAAGAGGAGGAAUCCUGUUUUGGUUGGCGAAUCUGAGCCUGAGAUGGUUGUAAGGGAGCUAUUGAAAAGAAUAGAGAAUAAAGAAAUAGCAGAUGGGUUGUUAAAGAAUGUGCAGGUGAUUCAUUUGGAAAAGGAUUUUCUAGAUAAAACGAAAAUAGCAGCAAAGAUUAUAGAAUUAGGGGGUUUGAUCGAGACCCGUAUAGCGAAUUUGGAUUGCGGAGGAGUAAUUCUUGAUUUGGGUGAUUUGAAAUGGCUGGUCGAGCAGCAGGUAUACUUUGCAGGUGCUAGUGGACUCCAGCAGCAGCAGCAGAUUGUGUCUGAGGCUGAGCGGGCGGCAGUGGCGGAGAUGGGGAAGCUGUUGGAACGGUUUGGAGAGAGGAGUAGCGGUGGUGGCAGUGGAAGGGUUUGGUUGAUUGGAACUGCUACCUGUGAGACCUAUUUGAGGUGUCAGGUCUAUCAUCCUAGUAUGGAAAAUGAUUGGGAUCUGCAGGCAGUGCCAAUCGCUCCUAGAGCACCUCUUCCAGGAUUGUUUCCCAGGCUUGGAACCAAUGGUAUUCUUAGCAACUCAGUUGAAUCCUUAUCACCUUUGAAGGGCUUUCCAACUAUUACACCUAUUCCACUGAGGCGUCUUGCUGAGAACUUAGAUCCCACUCGAAGAAUGAGUUGUUGCCCUCAAUGCAUGCAAAAUUAUGAGCAAGAGCUAGCAAAAGUUAUACCAAAAGAAUCUGAGAAAUCUUCUUCAGAAUUUAAAUCAGAAGCAACUCAGCCACUACUGCCACAGUGGUUGAAAAAUGCUAAGUCUCAAGAUUGUGACACUAAAACGUUGGAUCAGACUGUGACUAAAGAUCAAGAAUUAAUGUCAAAGCAGAAGAGCCUAGAGUUGCAGAAGAAAUGGCAUGAUACGUGCUUACGUCUUCAUCCUGGUUAUCACCAGCCCAAUGUCAGCUCUGAGAGAAUUACACAACCGGCUCUCUCCAUGACGAGCUUGUUCAAUACAAACCUCCUUCCUCGGCAACCUUUCCAGCCCAAGUUAGGUUUAAAUGGAAACCUUGGUGGAACUCCGCAAUUGAACCCAAAUCUGUUGCCCAGACAAUCACCUGGUCGGGCAAUUACUCCAGCAGGAAGCCCUGUGAGGACAGACCUGGUUCUUGGGCAGCCAAAGAGCAAUGAACAAACUCCUGAGAAAGGCCAUGAAGAUCGCGCUAAAGACUUUUUUGGUUCUGUUGCUUAUGAGCCACAGGUCAAGUUGCAAGAAUUGCAGGCCAACAAGCUUCUAAGUGCAUUAGAUGCGGACUCAUUUAAGAGACUCCUCAAAGGUCUUACUGAAAAGGUGUGGUGGCAGAGAGAAGCAGCAUCUGCAGUAGCUACAACCGUGACACAAUGCAAAUUGGGCAAUGGUAAACGGCGGGGUAAUGCAUCAAAGGGUGAUAUUUGGCUAUUGUUCACAGGUCCUGACAGGAUUGGCAAGAAGAAGAUGGCAUCUGCUCUAUCAGAGCUGUUCCGUGGGACCAAUCCAAUAAUGUUAUCUCUGGGUUCACGACGUGACAAUGGGGAAUCUGAUGUGAAUUUCCGUGGUAAAACAGCACUUGAUCGAAUAGUAGAAGCUGUUAAGAGGAAUCCAUUUUCAGUAAUCAUGCUUGAGGACAUUGACGAAGCAGAUAUGCUUGUUCGAGGGAGCAUAAAGUGGGCCAUGGAAAGAGGCCGGCUUUCUGAUUCCCAUGGCCGUGAAAUCAGUCUUGGUAAUGUAAUUUUCAUUCUCACUGCAAAUGGGUUACCAGACAAUCUCAAAUUCCUAUCAAAUACUGUUCCACUCGAUGAAAAGAAGCUCAUCAGUUUGGCAAGUGGAGGAUGGCAAUUAAGGCUAUCCCUCUGCGAGAAAACAACCAAGCGCCGAGCCAGUUGGUUGCAUGAUGAAGAGAGACCUGCAAAACCAAGAAAAGACUCAGGAUCAGCGCUAUCAUUUGACCUGAACGAAGCUGCUGAUGCUGAGGAUGAUAAAGCUGAUGGCUCUCGCAAUUCAAGUGAUCUUACAAUUGAUCACGAGGAUGAACAUGUCCCCAACAACAGAUUACUAACUCCAACAGCUUCAUCAGUGUCUCCAGAGCUACUCAAUUCAGUAGACGACGAUAUUGUUUUCAAACCUGUGGACUUUGGCCUCAUUCGUUGCGAGGUUUCUAAUUCUAUAACCAAGAGGUUCUUCACCAUCAUCAGUGAAGGAAUGUCAUUUGAAAUUCAAGACCAGGCGCUUGAAAAGAUUGCUGGUGGGUUAUGGUUAGGCCGAGAAAGUUUAGAAGAAUGGACUGAGAAAGUAUUGGUUCCAAGCAUGCGCCAGCUCAAGCUACAGUUACCAACAUCCACUGAGGAAUCAUCCAUGGUUGUUUGGCUCGAACCCGACAGCGAUUCAGCCAGCCGAAGCCACACAGAUUGGCUGCCGAGCAGCGUCAGAGUAGUGGUUGGUGGGUUGUGAGCGUGGUGGGAGGGCACUCAUUUCUGUUUAAUAUAUAGAGAUGUAAAUAUUCUCCAACUGUUUUUGGCGGGUUGGUUGAAAGCGGUUGACAAGGGUAAAGAAGGAAAAUGGAUUAAAAAAAGAAAAACAGUCAGAGUAGAGGGAGACGUUGAUUGAUUAACGGAAACUUUAGACGGCAAGGUCUCGCCUUUUCUUUUUACUAUUAUUAUUAUUUUAUUACUUUGUUACAUGCCCCUCCCCUUCUUUUUUGUCUUUAUAAAAUUUAAUAAUAUUUUUACAAAAUAUAUUUUUAUUAUUUAAAAAUUUAAAUUAACGCGUGGCAUUAUUCUUGUUGUGAGGGGCGGCUACGGUUCAACGAGGUUUUUGGCUUGAUGUUUAAAUUUGACCCUAAUUAAAAUUUAAUUUAAUGAAAAA
This 4361-nucleotide unclassified non-coding RNA is filed under the name Hevea brasiliensis (rubber tree). Lineage: Eukaryota; Viridiplantae; Streptophyta; Magnoliopsida; Malpighiales; Euphorbiaceae. The record is from RNAcentral.